RNAcentral lists this ribosomal RNA (521 nucleotides) under uncultured Spartobacteria bacterium. Its description in RNAcentral is "bacterial SSU rRNA". It matches the Rfam family "Bacterial small subunit ribosomal RNA", at positions 9 to 510 of the family's 1533-position model. The record is from RNAcentral. Lineage: Bacteria; Pseudomonadati; Verrucomicrobiota; Spartobacteria.
GAGUUUGAUCGUGGCUCAGAACGAACGCUGGCGGCGUGGAUAAGACAUGCAAGUCGGACGAGACUUUCUCUGGUAGCAAUACCGGAGGAAGUUUAGUGGCGAACGGGUGCGUAACACGUGGGCAAUCUGCCGGGAAGUGGGGGAUAGCUCGCCGAAAGGCGAAUUAAUACCGCAUGUGAUCAGGGGGGACAUCCUCUCGACAUCAAAGGUGGCGCAAGCUACCGCUUCUUGAUGAGCCCGCGGCCUAUCAGCUAGUUGGUGAGGUAACGGCCCACCAAGGCUUUGACGGGUAGCUGGUCUGAGAGGACGACCAGCCACACUGGAACUGAGACACGGUCCAGACACCUACGGGUGGCAGCAGUCGAGAAUUUUUCUCAAUGGGGGAAACCCUGAAGGAGCGACGCCGCGUGGAGGAUGAAGGCUUUCGGGUUGUAACUCCUGUCAUUUGGAACAAUGGUUACGCGUUAACUGCGCGUGAUUUGAUAGUACCAGAAGAGGAAGAGACGGCUAACUCUGUGCCA